Molecule: long non-coding RNA, 834 nt
Filed under: Monodelphis domestica (gray short-tailed opossum)
Lineage: Eukaryota; Metazoa; Chordata; Mammalia; Didelphimorphia; Didelphidae
Description: lncRNA (ENSMODG00000048276.1)
Source: RNAcentral
UCCUUAACCUUCGGCCCACGCCCACGGCCCCUACCCCAACCUGCUCCGGGACUGGCCCUCAGCCCUUACUCAGGCCAGCCGGUCAAACUUGGGACCAGGGCGCAACCUGAUGCCGUCAUCCCGCCCCCCCUCCACACCCCUAAAAAAUCCCGCCCCCCUUCCUUUCACCCCCUCGGCCCAGCCCACUGUGGAGAGAGGGAGGAGAAUGCUGGAGGAGGGAGCUGGCGGAGUGCAGUAAUUCGGGGGCCACUUUGGGGAAGUAGUUGUGGGGAACAGAGACCGAAUUGGAGGACUGAGGCAUGGCAGGGAUCAAAAGGAUGGGAGGAUAGGGCAAUUGCCAAAGUACUGUAGACGUGGAAAAAUGACUUGCCUAAGGUCAAACAGCUAGCAAGUGGUCAGAGCCAAGCCUUGGACCUAGAUCUUGUGACCAUAAAUCUCUUGAUCUGCCCACUAUCCUAAGCUGCCUCUAAGAAAGAUGGGAAUGCGGAAGAGGACUGGAGGGAGCCAAAUGGGAGGGUCUUGGCAAUUCUAAAAGAGGAAGGGAGUCUGCAUUUCAGACUCUUCAGCAGUCCAAGCAAAAGGGCAAGGCUGGCUCUCCCGAUGGUCCUCCGGUUCCCCUUGCGCAGAAGUGCCAGCUUUACCCUGGAGUGUAGAACCUUGUUUGAGACACCUGAUCCCAGCAUCCUUACCAUGGAAGCCAACGUGUUGGUGAUGGGAGCAGAAAACGUUGGGAAGUCAGCCCUGACUGUUCGCUUCCUGACCCGACGAUUCAUUGGAGAAUAUGGGGACCUGGGUGAGUCUUGGCCUGCUUGUUGCUGGGCAGAUGUUGCUGAU